AGAGUAGUGGUGUUUAAUUGUCUUGAGGAAAAGAACUCUCUCAGUCUGGCAUUGGGGUCUGCAAGAGGACCCUCUGGGAGUCUUUUGGACUACUUAACAAACAAACUGCAACCAAUGGCAUCAACCACCAAUCUACCAACCUGUGCCUCCUGCAUCAAGGCCAUAACAUUUAUAUAUCUAUAAAUAAAACUAUUAUUCAUCUG
This 203-nucleotide long non-coding RNA is filed under the name Rattus norvegicus (Norway rat). RNAcentral's name for it is "long non-coding RNA NONRATT003367". The record is from RNAcentral. Lineage: Eukaryota; Metazoa; Chordata; Mammalia; Rodentia; Muridae.